GUUGUGUCUACCCUGAACACACCUGAUCUCAGAAGCUAAGCAGGAUCAGGCCUGGUUAGUGCUUGCAUGGGAGAUACUGAUUACUACUAUUCUUUCUCUCUGGAAGCCCGUGGUCUCUCAGCA
Ribosomal RNA from Nomascus leucogenys (northern white-cheeked gibbon), 123 nucleotides. The record is from Ensembl. NCBI's taxonomy places the organism in Eukaryota, Metazoa, Chordata, Mammalia, Primates, Hylobatidae.